Molecule: ribosomal RNA, 124 nt
Filed under: uncultured bacterium
Lineage: Bacteria
Description: partial 16S ribosomal RNA
Rfam family: Bacterial small subunit ribosomal RNA
Source: RNAcentral
UGGGGAAUAUUGCACAAUGGGGGAAACCCUGAUGCAGCGACGCCGCGUGAGCGAUGAAGUAUUUCGGUAUGUAAAGCUCUAUCAGCAGGGAAGAAAAUGACGGUACCUGACUAAGAAGCACCGG